Molecule: ribosomal RNA, 153 nt
Filed under: uncultured Methanoculleus sp.
Lineage: Archaea; Methanobacteriati; Methanobacteriota; Methanomicrobia; Methanomicrobiales; Methanomicrobiaceae
Description: partial 16S ribosomal RNA
Rfam family: Archaeal small subunit ribosomal RNA
Source: RNAcentral
UCCCUACGGGGCGCAGCAGGCGCGAAAACUUUACAAUGCGGGCAACCGUGAUAAGGGAACCUCGAGUGCCUGUAUAUGCAGGCUGUCCAGGUGUCUAAAACACACCUGAAGAAAGGGCCGGGCAAGACCGGUGCCAGCCGCCGCGGUAAUUCA